UGGACAAUGAACUUUCUCCUUUAGGGUCGGCCAAGCCCUCUUGGUGACCGAGAAAUCAAUGCUUAAUAUUUCAAAGGCUGAAACUCUAUCUCAUCUACUACACCCUCCACCUUGAGCUCCUUAGGCAGGGAACAAAUUGUUUAGCAUUUCAUCUCCCCUUUUUUCUAGUUGGCCGGACCACAUUUAGCAACAAGAACUUGAAACCGUGAAGUUUAAAGAGGUGUGACAGCUUCAUUACCCUCUUGUUCCCUCUUUUCCCUUCGGCCGUACACCAACAAACAAAGGGCUAUGGUAGUACCUUCCUUUUCCCUUGCAUGCAACUGAAUUCAUGUCUUGGAAGCUCAGGAACCAGUAAAGGGAGGUGCUUUGUUCGAUUGGAAAGCAUGGGUGGUAGUCAAGAAGGUGCGCAUAUUUUGUGAGUUAUGGACUGAUUCGCAGCUGUUUGGUAAAUUAUUUUGUGGAACGCGAGGAGGACGGAAGAGCAUUUGAAGACAUAAUUAUAUGGACGUUUUGCUGUUAUGUGCUGCUGUUUGAACAAUUGUUGUUACUGUUUCAUUGUUUGGAUGACUGUACUCAUCUGAGAAGUUGGAUUAUUUUUAACGCAUGAUUUAGCUACUGUUUUGAGACUUUCUAAUCAGU
Long non-coding RNA from Gastrolobium bilobum, 639 nucleotides. RefSeq lists it as uncharacterized. The record is from RefSeq and is a predicted model, not a curated record. Lineage: Eukaryota; Viridiplantae; Streptophyta; Magnoliopsida; Fabales; Fabaceae. The transcript is spliced from 3 exons.